This 462-nucleotide ribosomal RNA is filed under the name uncultured soil bacterium. Its description in RNAcentral is "bacterial SSU rRNA". It matches the Rfam family "Bacterial small subunit ribosomal RNA", at positions 66 to 519 of the family's 1533-position model. The record is from RNAcentral.
GGGGCAGCAUGACUGUAGCAAUACAGUUGAUGGCGACCGGCAAACGGGUGCGGAACACGUACACAACCUUCCUUCGAGCGGGGAAUAGCCCAGAGAAAUUUGGAUUAAUACCCCAUAGUAUAUUGGUUAGGCAUCUAAUUAAUAUUAAAGAUUUAUCACUUGAAGAUGGGUGUGCGGCUGAUUAGAUAGUUGGCGGGGUAACGGCCCACCAAGUCUGCGAUCAGUAACUGGUGUGAGAGCACGACCAGUCACACGGGCACUGAGACACGGGCCCGACUCCUACGGGAGGCAGCAGUAAGGAAUAUUGGUCAAUGGACGCAAGUCUGAACCAGCCAUGCCGCGUGGAGGAUGAAGGCCCUCUGGGUUGUAAACUUCUUUUAUCUGGGACGAAAAAGGGCCUUUCUAGGUCAACUGACGGUACCAGAGGAAUAAGCACCGGCUAACUCCGUGCCAGCAGCCGCG